AAAGUGGAUCAAGCGACCGCUUCCGCUGGGCCAGUGAGUCUGGCCCAUAGGGAGAGGAAAGUCCGGACUCCACAGGACAGGGUGGCCGCUAACAGCGGCCCCGAGCGAUCGGGGGAAAGUACCACAGAAAAGAUACCGCCGUCCGCCUAAGGCGGAUGGUAAGGGUGAAAAGGCGAGGUAAGAGCUCACCGGUCCGCCAGUAAUGGCGGAGGCAAGGCAAACCCCACCCGGAGCAAGACCAAAUAGGAGGGUUUGGGUGGUCCGCCCUUAGCCCUCGGGUAGAGUCGCUAGAUCUCGCGAGUAAUCGCGGGACGAGAUGAAUGGUCGCUACGGCUUCUUAUAGAAGCCGUCACAGAAUCCGGCUUAUCGAUCCGCUUUAGCC
This 382-nucleotide RNase P RNA is filed under the name Deltaproteobacteria bacterium. Its description in RNAcentral is "RNase P RNA component class A". It matches the Rfam family "Bacterial RNase P class A". Rfam says of the family: Ribonuclease P (RNase P) is a ubiquitous endoribonuclease, found in archaea, bacteria and eukarya as well as chloroplasts and mitochondria. The record is from RNAcentral. Lineage: Bacteria; Pseudomonadati; Myxococcota; Myxococcia.